This 775-nucleotide ribosomal RNA is filed under the name uncultured Neocallimastigales. RNAcentral describes it as "partial large subunit ribosomal RNA". It matches the Rfam family "Eukaryotic large subunit ribosomal RNA", at positions 20 to 635 of the family's 3401-position model. The record is from RNAcentral. Lineage: Eukaryota; Fungi; Neocallimastigomycota; Neocallimastigomycetes; Neocallimastigales.
UACUAGAGUAGCACUCGCAUAUCAAUAAGCGGAGGAAAAGAAACUAACAAGGAUUCCCCUAGUAACGGCGAGUGAAGCGGGAAGAGCUCGAAUUUGAAAUCUUAAAGGGUUUCCCUUUACGAAUUGUAGUUUAAAGAAGUGUUUUCUGUUGAGGUUUUGGUAAAAGUUCUUUGGUAAUAGGACAUCAUAGAGGGUGAGAAUCCCGUAUUUGACCUUUACUUUCAACUUUGUGAUACACUUUCAAAGAGUCGGAUUGUUUGGGAAUGCAGUCCAAAAUGGGUGGUAAAUUUCAUCUAAAGCUAAAUAUUGGCGAGAGACCGAUAGCGAACAAGUACCGUGAGGGAAAGAUGAAAAGAACUUUGAAAAGAGAGUUAAACAGUACGUGAAAUUGUCAAAAGGGAAGCGUUUGACACCAGUGUUGUUUUUCUGAAAAUCAAUUAAAGAACUGUUUAUGCUAAGCUGUUUAGACUUUAUCAGCUAACUGUUUAGUUUUGAGCUUUUCUUUAAUGCACUUUUCAGUUAACAAGUCAACAUCAAUUUCUUUUGCUGUAAAAAAGCUUGAGGAAGGUGGCUUGAGAUUCGUCUUAAGUGUUUAUAGCCUCUUGCCUAUGCAGUCGGAGAGAUUGAGGUCUGCAGCGUAGAUCCUUCGGGGCUAAAUGCAUUUGUGCUAAGUUAUAGCAUUUUAUAGACAACUUGUUGACUAUGAUUUGUCUUGUAGCUUACUCGCUUAUGUUAUUUUACCUACGCUUAGGAUGUUGAUCUACAGAGCGAGAGU